AUACGGAGGCUGCAAGCGUUGUUCGGAAUCACUGGGCGUAAAGGGCGCGCAGGCGGUUUGGUAAGUCAGAUGUGAAAGCCCACGGCUCAACCGUGGAAGUGCAUUUGAAACUGCCAGACUUGAGUACCAGAGGGGAAAGUGGAAUUCCCGGUGUAGAGGUGAAAUUCGUAGAUAUCGGGAGGAAUACCGGUGGCGAAGGCGACUUUCUGGCUAGAUACUGACGCUGAGGCGCGAAAGCGUGGGGAGCAAACAGGAUUAGAAACCCCGGUAGUCC
This 274-nucleotide ribosomal RNA is filed under the name uncultured bacterium. RNAcentral's name for it is "partial 16S ribosomal RNA". It matches the Rfam family "Bacterial small subunit ribosomal RNA", at positions 523 to 796 of the family's 1533-position model. The record is from RNAcentral.